This 252-nucleotide ribosomal RNA is filed under the name uncultured bacterium. RNAcentral's name for it is "partial 16S ribosomal RNA". It matches the Rfam family "Bacterial small subunit ribosomal RNA", at positions 524 to 776 of the family's 1533-position model. The record is from RNAcentral.
GACAGAGGAUGCAAGCGUUAUCCGGAAUGAUUGGGCGUAAAGCGCGCGCAGGCGGUCAUUUAAGUUUGGUGUUUAAUCCCGGAGCUCAACUCCGGGUCGCACUGAAAACUGGGUGACUUGAGUACAGAAGAGGAGAGUGGAAUUCCACGUGUAGCGGUGAAAUGCGUAGAUAUGUGGAGGAACACCAGUGGCGAAGGCGACUCUCUGGGCUGUAACUGACGCUGAGGCGCGAAAGCGUGGGGAGCAAACGGG